Molecule: long non-coding RNA, 534 nt
Filed under: Homo sapiens (human)
Lineage: Eukaryota; Metazoa; Chordata; Mammalia; Primates; Hominidae
Description: novel transcript
Source: RNAcentral
AAGAUCACUUUUUCAAAGUUUCAUCCUCUGGACUCCUUGCUUUCUUCCAUAAAACCCAUCCAAAGGCCCUGCUGGGCUACUGACAGCUCACUAUCCCUGCAUGUCAACUCUUUACCUGUGAACAAUUAUGCAAGCACAGCCCUCCUCAGUUCCCUGAAGACCUGAAUGAAGCCAGGGUCUCAGGUGUGAGGUCAUAGAUCGGAGUAAGAACCAACUUUUUCUUAUUAGUUUUGUGACACUAGAAAAGUUAUUGUGGGUUUUGGGGCCUUUCGACCUGUACAGUGGGUAACAUGCCAGCAUCUCCUUUUUUAGGGUAUCUCCUUCCUCAUCAGUGACAGCAAUCAGAGCACGAUUAUGAAGUAGACUGGACAUAAGCACCACAUUUUGGGUGUCACUGUCUCCCAUCACCCCCUAAUGGAACUGUCUAGUUGCAGGAAAACAAGCUCAGCGCUCCCACUGAUUCUACAUUAUGGUUGGAUGUUAACCUGAUGUGGUGCUCUUGGAGAAGCUUGCCUGAGUUAGGCACUUUCUCAG